UGUGUAGGCCAAUGACAAAUGAAAUCUAAAUUUAAUCGAUUUUAAAUUCAUGCUGUAACACAACAUUUUUUGGAAAAAGUCAAGGGGUGUGGAUACUUUCUUAAGGCACUGUAUCCUAAAAGGGCCUUUUAUUUGGUCUUAUCGAAAUACUGAUUUCCUGAGUAUACUGUCUGCAUUCAUUUCGGACUUUCUUUGAACAACGUGGGUGAUACAGUAGCUCUGUGUGUACCCAAAAAUAAAUCUGAAACCUAAAACCAGGAUGGCACAGGAGUAGGCUUACUGAGUCAUGGUGACAGGCAGGUUUAAAAGGUAGGCUUACUGAGUCAUGAUGACAGGCAGGUUUAAAAGGUAGGCUUACUGAGUCAUGAUGACAGGCAGGUUUAAAAGGUAGGCUUGCUGAGUCAUGGUGACAGACAGGUUUAAAAGG
RNAcentral lists this long non-coding RNA (427 nucleotides) under Salmo salar (Atlantic salmon). Its description in RNAcentral is "lncRNA (ENSSSAG00000111324.1)". The record is from RNAcentral. Lineage: Eukaryota; Metazoa; Chordata; Actinopteri; Salmoniformes; Salmonidae.